RNAcentral lists this long non-coding RNA (1114 nucleotides) under Bos indicus x Bos taurus (hybrid cattle). RNAcentral describes it as "lncRNA (ENSBIXG00000022163.1)". The record is from RNAcentral. Lineage: Eukaryota; Metazoa; Chordata; Mammalia; Artiodactyla; Bovidae.
CGGUGAGAUUGCAACAGCACGGAGGGGCUGGUGGCCUGCUUUGCUGAGAAGACCCCCAAGGGGAAGGUGACUUCUUUUUCUUUCUAAAAAGGGUGAAAUGGCUCAACACACACCAUGGUGGCUGAGUACUGUCCUGCCCUCUCCUGGGCUCAAGUGCAGAGGUGAGAGAGGGAAGCUUACGGCCUGCUCUGUGAGGCCAGGCAUCAGAGCAGGCAGAGGUCAGAACUGUUGCCAAGGGAGGGGUGACUUUCCUAAUCUCAAUGUGAAGAUCGAUUCAGUUCAAUGAGUUAAUAGACUUGCCUAGCACAAAGAAAGCCCAACAGAACCACUGUUCUUAUUAUUGUUUGCACUAAGUAAUUAAACAUCUUCAAGUAGAUGCUAAAUGGCUUUUGCAGAUAGUGCCCACAAAACGUGAUUGAUAUGUUCUACUUACAGGCAGAACUGGGUAUCAUUCCCCACCCCUACUCCAUCCUCCAUUUCCCUUUCUCAUUUCCAGAUCCUCCCGGCAGCUGUCAGCAUCAGCCAGUCCCUAGACUCAAAUCCCAGCAGCUCGAUGACAAGUUCCGUGGACCUGGGCAAUCUUGGGUCUCAUCUGGAAAAUGGGGUGCUGCAGGGAACGAAGGGAAGGGAGAGGACACAGAGACCUGGUUCCCGUCCUCGGGGAACCUGCACUCUUUGCAGACAUGAUGACAGGGUGUGGGCCAGCACCGCCACAGCGUGAUGACCACUGUGUGACUGGGGCCUAGCCGCGCACUCGGCAUGUCACACGCUUCUCUUGUUGAACCCGUUUAAAAACAACCUGCAGGGGCUUCCCUGGUAGCUCAGUGGUCAAGAAUCCGCCUGCCAACACAGGAGACACAGGUUCGAUCCCUGAUCCAGGAAGAUCCCACAUGCCGCGGGAACAACUAAGCCUGUGAGCCACCAAUUCCUGAGCCUGUGCUCCAGGAACUGCAACUACUGAACUCUUGUGCUACAACUACUGAAGCCCACUCACCUUAGAGCCUGGGCUCCGCAACAAGAGAAGCCACCACAAUGAGAAGCCCACGCCUUGCAGCUAGAGAGUAGACCCAGCUCUGUGCAACUGCAGAAAAGGCCACAUAGCAAUGAAGACCGG